Cornus florida is the source of this 979-nucleotide long non-coding RNA. RefSeq lists it as uncharacterized. The transcript is spliced from 2 exons. Lineage: Eukaryota; Viridiplantae; Streptophyta; Magnoliopsida; Cornales; Cornaceae. The record is from RefSeq and is a predicted model, not a curated record.
UUUAACAUUUUUUGAAUUUUCAGGCUUAGAGAUCCCAUGUGGGCCCCACGCCGGGGAAUUUUGUGCUCGGAUUUAUUUUCUGGAUUCAUGUACAUAUUAUUUGAUGUUCAUGUAAGGGUAUAUUUGGAUUUUUACAUCAAUAUGGCAUUAUUGGGUUUAUUUGAUUGUGAGGGGCGUAAAGGUCAUUUUGGUGGUCAAAGGUGGACCAACCUUUGACCAAGUCACAUGUGAGGGGACAAAUUCAGAUUACUUCCACUCCCUCUCCCAUUUUAUGACGAGCCAUUUCUUCUUCUUCCCCAUCCUCCAUUAAUGGCCACCAUUGUUACCCUAGUUAGAGCUCAUUUUUGACCCCUUUUUUAGUGAGAUUCGGGCAAAGUGUUAGAAGAGAAGUUGAACCUACAUGUCAUAAGCUUUCUAUUGAUGCCAUCAUAUUCACCAUUUGAGCCACUUGAAAUUUCGGGUCUUGCUUAGAGUAGGAUUUGAGAAAAAGGCUUGGUAGAGAAGUUGUUAGGCAUGUCUUGAUCUACAUGAUGGUGUGAUUUUGGAGACCAUUGGAGGCUUCUUAGAUUUUCGGCCAAGGCUUGAGGAGGGCUUUUGUUGCGUCUUCAAGAGGGAAGGUUGGUCUCAUUUUCCUCCUCUUCAUUUUGGUGGUGAUAGCUUGCAUUUUGGAGGAGUUUAACAAGGAGCCAAAGUUAGGGUUUAUGCAUUCAAGAGGUAUACUCUACUGAGCGGUGGUGCUUGCCCUUUUAUCUUAAACAUUUUUUAGGGUAGGAAGCGACGAAAUGGAUGAGACGCUUCAAUGUACUUAGGCGUAGUUAGGAUGUUUAUUUUCAUCAUCUUUUGUAACUGAUGUCACAUUCAUAAAGUUUUAUCAUAAGCUUGUACUAUUUUGAAGUCAUUUCAAUAGUGAUGUAAACUGAUGACCUUGGUGGUGUAACCUAUCAAACUUGUAUAAUUUUAUCUAUCUUUUGUGGUCUCA